GAUGAACGCUGGCGGCGUGCCUAAUACAUGCAAGUCGAGUGAACAGUUGAGGAGCUUGCUCCUUUGUCGUUAGCGGCGGACGGGCGAGUAACACGUGGAUAACCUACCUAUAAGACUGGGAUAACUCCGGGCAACCGGCGCUAAUACCGGAUAAUAUAUUCAACCGCAUGGUUCAAUAGUGAAAGACGCUUUUGCUGUCACUUAUAGAUGGACCCGCGCCGCAUUAUCUAGUUGGUAAGGUAACGGCUUACCAAGGCAACGGUUCGUAGCCGACCGGAUAGGGUAAUCGACCACACUGGAACGAGGACACGCUCCAGACUCCUGCGGGAGGCAACAGUAGGGAAUCUUCCGCAGUGGGCGAAAACCUGACAGAGCAACGCCGCGUGAGUGAUGAAGGGCUUCGGAUCGUAAAACACUGUUAUUAGUGAAGAACAAGUGUGUAAGUAACUAUGCACGUCUUGACGGUACCUAGUCAGAAGGCCACGGCUAACUACUUG
This 497-nucleotide ribosomal RNA is filed under the name uncultured bacterium. RNAcentral describes it as "partial 16S ribosomal RNA". It matches the Rfam family "Bacterial small subunit ribosomal RNA", at positions 28 to 507 of the family's 1533-position model. The record is from RNAcentral.